AGAACGAACGCUGGCGGCAUGCCUAACACAUGCAAGUCGAACGCUUUUGGGGCUUCGGUCCCAAAGGAGUGGCGCACGGGUGAGUAGCGCGUGGGAACCUGCCCUGUUGUGGGGGAUAACCGAGGGAAACUUCGGCUAAUACCGCAUACGCCCGGGGGAAACUCCGGGGAAAGAUUUAUCGCAGCAGGAGGGGCCCGCGUCGGAUUAGGUAGUUGGUGGGGUAACGGCCCACCAAGCCUGUGAUCCGUAGCUGGUCUGAGAGGAUGAUCAGCCACACUGGGACUGAGACACGGCCCAGACUCCUACGGGAGGCAGCAGUGGGGAAUAUUGGACAAUUGGCGCAAGCCUGAUCCAGCAAUGCCGCGUGAGUGAUGAAGGCCUUCGGUUGUAAAGCUCUUUCGCACGCGACGAUGAUGACGGUAGCGUGAGAAGAAGCCCGGCUAACUUCGUGCCAGCAGCCGC
RNAcentral lists this ribosomal RNA (462 nucleotides) under uncultured bacterium. RNAcentral's name for it is "SSU rRNA". It matches the Rfam family "Bacterial small subunit ribosomal RNA", at positions 26 to 518 of the family's 1533-position model. The record is from RNAcentral.